AAUAAGAAACAAACCUUUGUAUUUAGUUUCGACCUAAAAUUUUGAUGAUACCAUCCUUAUUU
Molecule: transfer RNA, 62 nt
Filed under: Nigidionus parryi
Lineage: Eukaryota; Metazoa; Arthropoda; Insecta; Coleoptera; Lucanidae
Description: tRNA-Arg
Source: RNAcentral